Passer domesticus (house sparrow) is the source of this 901-nucleotide long non-coding RNA. RefSeq lists it as uncharacterized. The transcript has 3 exons. The record is from RefSeq and is a predicted model, not a curated record. NCBI's taxonomy places the organism in Eukaryota, Metazoa, Chordata, Aves, Passeriformes, Passeridae.
UUUUCAAAGUGAGUUCAGCAUCCUGGAAUUGGGUGGUGAGGAAAACAGAAGGGAGGAGAGAAAGAGAAAGUGAAAAGGAAGUUAAUUAAACAAUUAAUCCAAUGAGGCCAGCAUGGUAAUGAGCUCCAGAUGUUUGGGAUUCCACGGACAGUCUCUGAGCUGGAGAAGCAAUGGUGGGUUUAUAUACAUUUGUUUACUUCUCCUGAGACUGACUAUUGCUUUCUCUAAAAGCCAAUGAAGAACAGGCCCACCCUAAAAUACCUCUGGGACUUCACUCCAAAUUUUGCUCUGACUUUGUAGCCCACGAAGGCAGUGGCAAUAACUCAGAUGGUUGUGUUUGUUUCUCAAGAGAUGAUGAUUUUCUCAGGCAGAUAAAGAAGAAACAAAAAAACAAGCUUAGAACAAUGCAUUUUUUUUUCUCAUUUUUGGAUUAACCUUUGCAAAACUUUUGGUGGAAUGAUGCAGAAAUCCUCUUCUCAGCAAGUUUGAAGACCAGAAGAGUCCUCAGGACAACAGGAUGUGUCUGGCUUUGGCUAUGGGAUGACCAGAGUUCUUGCUUUUAUGGUGUCAGGAUUUUAAUUGCUGUGUCUGGAAGGUGGUGCUUGGAGCUUGGAGGCAGCAGAUAGCAGGAAAGCCUUGAUGGCUCCCCAAAUCUCUGCCAAGGUCCUCAAAUCAGUCCUGCCAGAAGGAAUCUUCACCCCUCAUGCCCCAUUUCCUGCAGCAGGGAUCUGGAAGGUGGCAAUGGGAAAGGACAGAAAUCAGAGGGGACAGGACUCUUACAAAAAAAACCAAGUUUGCUCUCAACUCUCUCAUCUAUCAAGCCUUCCUCUUCUCCCUCAUCCCUCCUACAUUUCCUUCUCAUCCCAAAUCCUCAGCUUCUCUGAGCUGUCAGGCCUGCAGA